This 517-nucleotide unclassified non-coding RNA is filed under the name Zea mays. Its description in RNAcentral is "misc RNA Zm00001eb171290". Lineage: Eukaryota; Viridiplantae; Streptophyta; Magnoliopsida; Poales; Poaceae. The record is from RNAcentral.
GGGCUUGCGUCCAUGCAACAGGAGCAGGUGGAGGUGCAUCCAUGGCAUGGGGAAAAGAGCGCCCACGCUCAGCCAUGGGAGAAGGCGUGGUGUCGGCAUGGGCACUAGGCACCGAGGAGGAUUUCGUGUGCUAGCUGCUAGAAUAGAGAUAGGGGAGGGUGACUGAGUACCCACCAGGGAAGGGACGACCAAGGAACCAGCAUGGAGAGGGCGCUGGCUCAAGCCAUGGAGAAGGGGUUCGGCUGCCCUCCAUGGCUGCCUGGAUCUCAGGCGCGGCAGGGGUUCGCUCCAGGCGCUGAACAUGGGAGGAGUGGAAGGGGGCGUCGGUCUGGGGAGGAUGGCGGCCAGGUGGGGCUGGUCGAUGGAAUCCACGGCAAGGCGGGGGUGGCCGGACUUGAGAAGGGCAGGAAGCCAGAUGGGAGAGGGAGCGUACGUGCAGAAAGCAAACAAGGAGCCCAAGCCAAGGGGACGAGCUCACCUGCUCGAGCUCGGACCCUGAGAAAUGCCCUGCGCGCUG